GUGCUCGCUUCUGCAGCACAUAUACUAAAAUUGGAGCGAUACAGAGAAGGUUAGCAUGGCCCCUGUGCAAGUAAAAAAACUAAAAACUAAAAAUAAAUAAAU
RNAcentral lists this small nuclear RNA (102 nucleotides) under Microcebus murinus (gray mouse lemur). Lineage: Eukaryota; Metazoa; Chordata; Mammalia; Primates; Cheirogaleidae. The record is from RNAcentral.